CUCAGGACGAACGCUGGCGGCGUGCCUAAUACAUGCAAGUCGAACGCACGAAGUUGAAGAGCUUGCUCUUUAACCAAGUGAGUGGCGGACGGGUGAGUAACACGUGGGUAACCUGCCCAUUAGAGGGGGAUAACAUUCGGAAACGGAUGCUAAUACCGCAUAGUUUCAGGAAUCGCAUGAUUCUUGAAGGAAAGGUGGCUUCGGCUACCACUAAUGGAUGGACCCGCGGCGUAUUAGCUAGUUGGUGAGGUAAUGGCUCACCAAGGCAAUGAUACGUAGCCGACCUGAGAGGGUGAUCGGCCACACUGGGACUGAGACACGGCCCAGACUCCUACGGGAGGCAGCAGUAGGGAAUCUUCCGCAAUGGACGAAAGUCUGACGGAGCAACGCCGCGUGAGUGAAGAAGGUUUUCGGAUCGUAAAACUCUGUUGUUAAAGAAGAACAAGGAUGA
This 451-nucleotide ribosomal RNA is filed under the name Carnobacterium gallinarum. Its description in RNAcentral is "bacterial SSU rRNA". It matches the Rfam family "Bacterial small subunit ribosomal RNA", at positions 23 to 458 of the family's 1533-position model. The record is from RNAcentral. Lineage: Bacteria; Bacillati; Bacillota; Bacilli; Lactobacillales; Carnobacteriaceae.